ACGCGUAUGCAACCUACCUUAUACUGGGGUAUAGCCCGGAGAAAUUCGGAUUAAUCCCCCAUAGUACUGUUUUACCGCAUGGUAAGACAGUUAAAGCAUUGCGGUAUAAGAUGGGCAUGCGUCCUAUUAGCUAGAUGGUGAGGUAACGGCUCACCAUGGCUACGAUAGGUAGGGGGCCUGAGAGGGUGGUCCCCCACACUGGUACUGAGACACGGACCAGACUCCUACGGGAGGCAGCAGUGAGGAAUAUUGGUCAAUGGGCGCAAGCCUGAACCAGCCAUGCCGCGUGCAGGAAGAAUGCCCUAUGGGUUGUAAACUGCUUUUAUUUGGGAAUAAACCUCUUUACGUGUAGAGAGCUGAAGGUACCAAAUGAAUAAGCACCGGCUAACUCCGUGCCAGCAGCCGCGGUAAUACGGAGGGUGCAAGCGUUAUCCGGAAUCAUUGGGUUUAAAGGGUCCGCAGGCGGAUUUAUAAGUCAGUGGUGAAAUCCUAUCGCUUAACGAUAGAACUGCCAUUGAUACUGUAAGUCUUGAAUUCGGUCGGAGUGGGCGGAAUGUGUAGUGUAGCGGUGAAAUGCAUAGAUAUUACACAGAACACCGAUAGCGAAGGCAGCUCACUAGGCCUGAAUUGACGCUCAGGGACGAAAGCGUGGGGAUCAAACAGGAUUAGAUACCCUGGUAGUCCACGCUGUAAACGAUGAUUACUCGUUUUCGGCGAUAUACAGUC
RNAcentral lists this ribosomal RNA (726 nucleotides) under uncultured Bacteroidota bacterium. Its description in RNAcentral is "bacterial SSU rRNA". It matches the Rfam family "Bacterial small subunit ribosomal RNA", at positions 113 to 838 of the family's 1533-position model. The record is from RNAcentral. Lineage: Bacteria; Pseudomonadati; Bacteroidota.